GCAAACCCAGUUGUUCCAAAUCGUUGGCUUCCAACUGAGAAGCUUCUCCAAUUCACAAUUUCUGUAAAGGUACACACUUCUCUUCUCAUCAAUUAAAUCCAUUGAAAAUACCAUAUAAUUUGUAAAAGUGCUGAGCUAAAAAACUAAGAAGCUUCUGCUCAGUAAGUGCUUGAUAAAAAUCCUGAUUAAAGAACAUGAUAUGAUUUUAUUGCGAUUUUCCCAUUAUUCAUUGCAAUUUGUUUUGUUUGAUGAUUAUUACCUGUUUAUUUCUCUGCAUAAAUUUCAUGGCAUUACUCCUUUUACCCUCCCCAAAUCUUAUUUUUUGUUAUUCCAAUUUGACCUUGAGAUGGUUAUUUAUACUAAAGAAUGAGUUUUUUAGGAAGAGGAGGGAACCUUGAUUGGACUCGAAUAUUAAUCUUGAAGCAUAUAAAAGGUUCAUAUUUAUGUUUUAAUUUUGGAUCAACUGUAGUACUCCUUUGUUACAUCAAAGAGUUUAAUCUGUGUAAUUUUAGGGAACAACUUUAGUUUCAUACAAUUAUUGUUGAGUUUUGGUUUCAGGCAUUUGAGGCACCUGUAUUUGAGCAUCCAGAGGUAGACCUAAAAAAGUAGCUUCAAUUAUUCUGGGUGGAUGUGUUUGGACCCGUCACUUUCUCUCACUAACAAAAGAGCUAAACCAACUGUAGGUGACUUACCAUGUUUCCUUUGCAAUAAAUUUUCACAUUUUGGUUGCUUAUUGUAAAUUGAGUUGUUUUGGGAUGCAUGUGUUAUUUCCUAAUUGGCAAAUUAUGGUGAAAUUAUAUGCCCUUUACCAAUAAUCAAAUUAGUGUUUCUAUAUGUACUUGAUUUAAAUUUCCGUCAAUAAUGGUAACCAAACUGAUAGUCGCUUUUAGAAAAUAUAGCAAAGAAAAACUAAAAAUCGAGAACAAAAACUGAAUUAGAUAACAUAAAACAGAGAUGGUAUUUUCUGAUGAUUUUUUGUAAGGAAAGUUUCUAUGGUUCAUGUAAUAUAUAUCAUUGGCCUAUUUUUGUGUUCACUUUUGAAAUGCCAUGAAAUUGGUCAAAGCAAAGAUAUACAGUUUCUGCUGUAGUUAGUAAUCGGUUAUUAUAUUUUACACGAUUAUGCAAUUGACAAUUGAGUUUGCAAGUAUUUAUUUGGGGAUGCACAACAUUCAAGGUCACUAUUUCAAAAUAUUAGUACUGUAACCUACAAAAACUUCAAUUUGUUUAAGGAACACAUAAGAAUUCUCUAUCAGUGACAUAUAGAUAUUAUAUUUUUCAGGCAUUCUUACUAGAAGUUUUUUGAAACUGUCUGUUUUUACCAUCUUGGUAUGAACCAACAUGCUACAAGUGUAUGUUUCUAAUCACACACAAGUUUAAUGUCUGUAUUUUAUUGUUAAUUACUUUCUCAAGUUGUACUCAGUGUCAUGCUCUUACGCACAUGGUUUAUCAAUUGCUUUGUAUCAACAGUGGCAUAAGAAAUAUUUUCAUCCUAACCCAGUUCAAUUCCUUCUCUCUCAAUCGUCACCUAG
This 1529-nucleotide long non-coding RNA is filed under the name Panax ginseng (ginseng). Its description in RNAcentral is "long non-coding RNA (PGIN_LNC012021)". The record is from RNAcentral. Lineage: Eukaryota; Viridiplantae; Streptophyta; Magnoliopsida; Apiales; Araliaceae.